CCUACGGGAGGCAGCAGUGGGGAAUUUUGGACAAUGGGCGAAAGCCUGAUCCAGCAAUGCCGCGUGAGUGAAGAAGGCCUUCGGGUUGUAAAGCUCUUUUGUCAGGGAAGAAACGGCCUGUUCUAAUACAGUGGGCUAAUGACGGUACCUGAAGAAUAAGCACCGGCUAACUACGUGCCAGCAGCCGCGGUAAUACGUAGGGUGCAAGCGUUAAUCGGAAUUACUGGGCGUAAAGCGUGCGCAGGCGGUUUUGUAAGUCUGUCGUGAAAUCCCCGGGCUCAACCUGGGAAUGGCGAUGGAGACUGCAAGGCUAGAGUUUGGCAGAGGGGGGUAGAAUUCCACGUGUAGCAGUGAAAUGCGUAGAUAUGUGGAGGAACACCGAUGGCGAAGGCAGCCCCCUGGGUCAAGACUGACGCUCAUGCACGAAAGCGUGGGGAGCAAACAGGAUUAGAUACCCUGGUAGUCCACGCCCUAAACGAUGUCUACUAGUUGUCGGGUCUUAAUUGACUUGGUAACGCAGCUAACGCGUGAAGUAGACCGCCUGGGGAGUACGGUGCAAGAUUAAAACUUCAAAAGAUUAGUAGGCGNGNGAGAGCGACGACGACGACAGGAGGAGGAG
Molecule: ribosomal RNA, 619 nt
Filed under: uncultured bacterium
Lineage: Bacteria
Description: bacterial SSU rRNA
Rfam family: Bacterial small subunit ribosomal RNA
Source: RNAcentral